UUUGACGUUAGCGACAGAAGAAGCACCGGCUAACUCCGUGCCAGCAGCCGCGGUAAUACGGAGGGUGCGAGCGUUAAUCGGAAUUACUGGGCGUAAAGCGCAUGCAGGUGGUUUGUUAAGUCAGAUGUGAAAGCCCGGGGCUCAACCUCGGAAUAGCAUUUGAAACUGGCAGACUAGAGUACUGUAGAGGGGGGUAGAAUUUCAGGUGUAGCGGUGAAAUGCGUAGAGAUCUGAAGGAAUACCGGUGGCGAAGGCGGCCCCCUGGACAGAUACUGACACUCAGAUGCGAAAGCGUGGGGAGCAAACAGGAUUAGAUACCCUGGUAGUCCACGCCGUAAACGAUGUCUACUUGGAGGUUGUGGCCUUGAGCCGUGGCUUUCGGAGCUAACGCGUUAAGUAGACCGCCUGGGGAGUACGGUCGCAAGAUUAAAACUCAAAUGAAUUGACGGGGGCCCGCACAAGCGGUGGAGCAUGUGGUUUAAUUCGAUGCAACGCGAAGAACCUUACCUACUCUUGACAUCCAGAGAACUUUCCAGAGAUGGAUUGGUGCCUUCGGGAACUCUGAGACAGGUGCUGCAUGGCUGUCGUCAGCUCGUGUUGUGAAAUGUUGGGUUAAGUCCCGCAACGAGCGCAACCCUUAUCCUUGUUUGCCAGCGAGUAAUGUCGGGAACUCCAGGGAGACUGCCGGUGAUAAACCGGAGGAAGGUGGGGACGACGUCAAGUCAUCAUGGCCCUUACGAGUAGGGCUACACACGUGCUACAAUGGCGCAUACAGAGGGCGGCCAACUUGCGAGAGUGAGCGAAUCCCAAAAAGUGCGUCGUAGUCCGGAUUGGAGUCUGCAACUCGACUCCAUGAAGUCGGAAUCGCUAGUAAUCGUGGAUCAGAAUGCCACGGUGAAUACGUUCCCGGGCCUUGUACACACCGCCCGUCACACCAUGGGAGUGGGCUGCAAAAGAAGUAGGUAGUUUAACCUU
RNAcentral lists this ribosomal RNA (975 nucleotides) under Vibrio sp. VA3. Its description in RNAcentral is "bacterial SSU rRNA". It matches the Rfam family "Bacterial small subunit ribosomal RNA", at positions 468 to 1442 of the family's 1533-position model. Lineage: Bacteria; Pseudomonadati; Pseudomonadota; Gammaproteobacteria; Vibrionales; Vibrionaceae. The record is from RNAcentral.